Molecule: transfer RNA, 69 nt
Filed under: Marmota marmota marmota (Alpine marmot)
Lineage: Eukaryota; Metazoa; Chordata; Mammalia; Rodentia; Sciuridae
Also listed under: 4 other names
Rfam family: tRNA
About the family: Transfer RNA (tRNA) molecules are approximately 80 nucleotides in length. Their secondary structure includes four short double-helical elements and three loops (D, anti-codon, and T loops).
Source: Rfam by way of RNAcentral
GGAGUUGUGGCUCAGUGGUAGAGCACUUGCCUAGCAUGUGUGAGGCCCUGGGUUCAAUCCUCAGCACCA